This 798-nucleotide ribosomal RNA is filed under the name uncultured Gammaproteobacteria bacterium. RNAcentral's name for it is "bacterial SSU rRNA". It matches the Rfam family "Bacterial small subunit ribosomal RNA", at positions 56 to 849 of the family's 1533-position model. Lineage: Bacteria; Pseudomonadati; Pseudomonadota; Gammaproteobacteria. The record is from RNAcentral.
UGCAAGUCGUGCGAGAAAGUAUCUUCGGAUAUGAGUAGAGCGGCGGACGGGUGAGUAACGCGUAGGAAUCUACCUAGUAGAAGGGGAUAGCCCGGGGAAACCCGGAUUAAUACCGUAUACCUCCUUCGGGAGAAAGAAGGCCUCUCUUUGAAGCUUUCGCUACUAGAUGAGCCUGCGUAAGAUUAGCUUGUUGGUGAGGUAAAGGCUCACCAAGGCUACGAUCUUUAGCUGGUCUGAGAGGACGAUCAGCCACAUUGGGACUGAGACACGGCCCAGACUCCUACGGGAGGCAGCAGUGGGGAAUAUUGGAUAAUGGGCGCAAGCCUGAUCCAGCCAUACCGCGUGUGUGAAGAAGGCCUUCGGGUUGUAAAGCACUUUAAGCAGGGAGAAAAAGUUAUAAGUUAAUACCUUAUAACCCUGAUGUUACCUGCAGAAUAAGCACCGGCUAAUUCCGUGCCAGCAGCCGCGGUAAUACGGAAGGUGCAAGCGUUAAUCGGAAUUACUGGGCGUAAAGCGCGCGUAGGUGGUUUGUUAAGUUGGAUGUGAAAGCCCUGGGCUCAACCUAGGAACUGCAUCCAAAACUAACUCACUAGAGUACGAUAGAGGGAGGUAGAAUUCAUAGUGUAGCGGUGGAAUGCGUAGAUAUUAUGAAGAAUGCCAGUGGCGAAGGCGGCCUCCUGGAUCUGUACUGACACUGAGGUGCGAAAGCGCGGGUAGCGAACAGGAUUAGAUACCCUGGUAGUUCACGCCGUAAACGAUGACAACUAGCUGUUGGGAGACUAUGUCUUUCAGUGGCGC